CCUGGAGGCAUUCAAGGCCAGGCUGGAUGUGGCUCUGGGCAGCCUGGUCUGGUGGUUGGCGACCCUGCACAUAGCAGGGGGGUUGAAACUAGAUGGUCUUUGUGGUCCUUUUCAACCCAGGCCAUUCUAUGUUUCAUUCUAUGAUUUCUAUGAUUCUCUUGCUUACAGUCAGCUGGUGAGCUUGUCCUGAUGCCUUUGAGCAUAGGAAGUUAAAAGCUGUGUAUAAACAGGAAUGUUUGUGGAACAGGAAGAAAAUUUAGUAAAUGUUGAAGGCUUAUAGACUAAGAGCAGUGAAGCAAUGAAAAUAUUCAGUGCCUGUUCACUUAACAAUUACAAAGGACUGGUGCUGUGUGUGCCUGUCUUGUGAAGGAAACACCGCUAGGUGGGGGUGUGCAUCUACUUUAGUAGUAGGAUUUCUCAGCCGUGUUUCCAAGGGGCAGGUAGGUAAAGAAGAGCAGGAAGGGAACUGCUUCCACUUUGUCAAUAGGGCAACUCUUGUCUCCGAAGCUGUCGGGAAGUAGCAUGUGGGGAGGAGACAGUGCUGCUGUAGAGAAGACAAUUUAAUGCAUGUAGACAAGUAUGGGUCUUCCUGUAACUGGAGACAGGCAUGCAGAGCCUAGGGAGAGAGGUUCUACUAGUUAAAAUAAAGAUGUUUCUAGGAUUUCCACCUGGUUGCCUCAUCAUGCUCUAGCUUUGUCUGUGUGGGGAUGUGCAUUGUCUGUGACAUCCUGUGCAGUCUGAAACCCAGAGAUUUAACGGCAGGCGGUGAAGUCUCUGGCAUUGCUGUAAUUGACACAAGGUUGCAAAGAACUGGGCAGGCUACCUGAGCCACUGAGGUUGUACACUUACAGUCGUGCUGCCUUGCAGACUGGUUACUGCUCUGCAGAACAUCCAACUUUUCACUGGAUCUUCUCACCUGAAGAGAUGAGUACGGUGGCAAAUCGGCACACCUCCUGCCCCGGGGCCUGCAGAGCAGCUAGUUUCCUGCUUAUCCUUACAGCACUACAGAAGCUGAGCUCAAACGGACCUGUCCCACUGAGUUUUUGACCAUCUCUCUGGAUUGAUGGCAAUCCCUGGAACACGGAGAAUUUACUGCAGUGAAUAGAAGGUCUGUCCAAGUCUGUCUGCAGCUGGACUACAAUUGCUUUAUUUUUUUCCUAGCUUUUUGUUCUGGAGAAGGAGCCAAGUCAACCUCGUUGGACUCUUCCCUGGCUGAGCUAAGGUACCAUUUUUAGGACUGCCUUCAGAGCACGCUCUGUAGUGCUUUGGUACUUGGCAGCUGUGUUCAUUCCCAUCUGCUGCUUCAUAGUGUCUGCAUCUCAGAGGCUUGUCCCUUAGGCCACUGGCUGUAAUUAUAAAAGCUUCUGAUCUACAAAUGAGUGGCACAGUGAUUCAGGUACUGUUAUCAAUAAGUUUUGCAGUGCUGUCAGUACUGGAAGACAAUAUUGUACUGGAGUUCCAUUUUUUUUCCUUUAUUCUUUUUUGAGAGAAAUUUAAAAGUUUUCAUGCUGUUAUUGUAGAGGGUUUUUUUUGUUUUGUUUUUUGUUUUUUUUUUUUCCAUUUUGGAACUUGAGUGUGUUGGAGGUCUGGAAACCAGAAGGUAUAGAGAAAGAACAUCUGUUAACGUACGAGUCAGGAUUUGAAGGUAAUCCUGGAAUUCUGAGAAAAGCUAAUUCAUACUGUUACAGAAUUUGGCUUCAGCGGGAAUGGUAAUAUUGCCAUUUCUGUUAUGACUAGAAAUUCUGACCUGAAGUAGCUAAAAGAAAGGGCUCCUGGUUUGCAGCAGUUUUGUUAUUUGGCUAUGGUCAAUACUGGCCAGAAUAAAAAAGCUUGUCUGUACUUCCAGGAAUCCAGUAGCUCACCAGGCCCUACAGCUGCCAGAGAAGUCUGAUGUUCCUGUCUGUCCCAGCAGCUGUCAUGGGCUUCGAGCCUCAGACUUCUCCAAAGAUCUUUCAGACGGAGCUGCUCCAAACAAAGUUUUGGGACUCACCGUGGUAGCGUUUAGGAAAGUUCUCCCUCUCCCACCAUAUCUGAUAUCUGUAUUUUUGACUGAAUGUUUCACUGGGCUAUUUCUAGCCACUCUCAUCCCUCAAGCAGAAUUCUCUUGAGGAAGACAUGUGGGAGGAAGGCAAAUGAAAGCUUUCAAAGGAUGCAUCGUGGAACUGUUUUGUCUUCUCCGUCCCGUAAAAGAUGCACACAGACCUGGCUAACCAGCCGCUCUGGCUGAGGAGAGCUCAACGCUCGGGUCCUUGGAAUGUUGAAGUUUAUUUCCCAAGCUGCUGAGACAAACAGAGUUUGUCAGAAAUGAUUUACUCUCUUCUUCCAUUUGGGUUUCCCCACCUCCGCUUAAGAUUUCAGACUAUUUCAGAAGACCUUGGAUUUGAUUACAAUAACCUGUACUGAUGUUGUCAAGGAAGAAACGCUCAUGAGUUUCUACCUAUUCAUGUUUCCUACAAAAGAAGAAGGAUCACAAAACCACAACUUUCACGUUGGUUUUAGGGGAGGGACGGAGGAGUAUUAUUCUCAGAGCUAAGUGUGGACUUGAUGCCUGUUUGCAUAAUUAAAUGAGACAAGAACAAUAAACUGGAAUUAGCCUGUCUGAAGGUCAAAAGCUCUGGAGGGAGUUCUUCCCUUGUCUACAAGGGAUCUAGGUCAGUUAAAAGCAGUACAAAGCCAGAACUGCUGCUUUUCUGUGUUAUCUAGCUGGGAAUUGGAGUUGUUCCUAGAUUUUGUUUUAUCAUAGGCAUAAGCUGUAGUAGUUAAGUGGUUGUCGUCGUCCAUCUGUUGAUACUCAUUGCUGUUCCAGUUGCAGUCUCUGCAGCUGUUUUAGAACUGUGCAAUGCACAUUGUGUGUGACAGGCAAAGCCAUGCUUUUCAGGGGUGAAAGCACAGGAUAUUAAUUGGAACUGAAUAUUUUUGUUCCAAAUGUGGUUGUCUGUCAUAGACAAUGGGAUGGAUACAGGUGUGAGCUGGUGAUGAGGCUUCAGUCUUGAAUGUGGUCCUUGAAAGUAACAUCUGCAACUUCUGAUUCUGGGCCUGACUUGCCCAGAUUUUUCUCCAGUGAGCUCUGAUUUCAGCUUCACUAGAAGGAAUUGUGCUUCUGCGGCCUCAAGUGAAGUAUCUCAGGGCUUAUCUCAUGUUGGGAUGUAGGACUGUGCCAUCAAAGCUUUUCUUUGCAUGAGCCCUUUGCAUCAGCAACUGGAAUGUCUCAACAGUACUGUGAUUUUUCCACUGUGUUUGUUACUCCAAAUCACAUGGAGCUGACUGCAAGUUUUGCAUGGGCAACAAAAGCAAAGCUCUCUUUUGCCAGCUAGGAAUCUGACCCCGGAUGCUGCACCCAGGAGCGUGUUUGGGGCCGGCUGCAGGAGGAUUCUGUAGGCUGGAUCUCUGGGCAGGUCCCAGUGUGGAAGCAAUGAUGCAGGAAAGUCUUCAUCUGGCUGCUGCUCACUUGGAACUUCUUGCAGAUGUGCUGGACCUGACAUCUGAAAAUCUUAGCCGUGCUGUCCAGUUAUGGAUCCCUGAAGAUUACAGAUUUGAAGGGGCUAAUGUGUAUGUGCCUAAAUAUGUCUUCAUAAGCAUAUCUGCGUGUGUUGUUCUGUUAACCACUACUAGGUGCUUAGAGAAAAAAAGGCAGAAAAAACCAGCUGAUCGCAACUUACUCUUGCACUCCAACAUCUGCCUGCCAGACUCAAGAAGCAGCGUAAUCCCUGCUCAUGUGGUUUUCAUACUUUGAUUUCCCACUAAGACCAAAUGCUGGAGAGGAUCUCAUCCCCCUCUGGCAGAGGGCAAGCUGACAAUGUAUUGGCAGGACAGAAGGCAUCUACCAUUGGACUUGUUUACAUGCCAGCAUUACCCGAUUAAUCAGACUGGUAGUAUAUGUGUAUUGUUCUUGUAUUGCUUCAUUACUGAAGCCUUGGCCUGAGGAAGCUAUUGAUUGGGCUGGAAUUGCUUUUGCGGUUACCCAGACAGGCCAUGGAGGUGAAAUGCUGGUUCUGUGCAUUUGUGAGUCACAAAAAAUGAAGGCCAGUGGGUGUAUUACAGGUCAGGUCAGGCAGGAUCUCCACCCUUCACUACGGUAAUUUCCAGAUGGGGCUCUGGUUAUGAGCAGUUUUCCUGUUAGCCACUGAACUGAUUUCAGAGAAAUAAAAGAAUUGUUAUUUUCCUCCCCCUACAGUGAAAUGAGACCUUCUAUCUUCUCUUGAGUUCUUUCUGGAUGACAGCACCACUCAUUGAAGAAGCUUCAAGGUAGGUGCUGUAGGUUCACCUCUGCUGUCUGGGUGGUAGGCUGUUAGGACAUUCCUUAAAAAUGCAGAAGAAAAACAGUGAAUUCUUCUGCUUAAGUGGAUCUAAUGAGCACUCUCGUGGCAGAUGCACUACCUGGCUAUCCCAGUAGCAUUUUGGAGGUGAUGAAAUCUGAGUUCCUGCAGACAAAACUUUGGAAAUGUUUGGUAGCAAUCAGACAGAUAUGACUCUCUCCAGCCCAUGCCUGAGCUACUCAUCUAAAGUGAGGCGGUGGGUUUCAAAAACAAUACUGCAGGCAGUAUGCUGACUGCUCGAGGGAAGCUGCAUGCCCACACCAUGGUCUCUUUCUACUAAUUUAGCCUCAUGUUUUCUUCUGGCUCCAACUGCUUGAUGUCUUCAGAUGAAUUGGCAAGACAUUUUGAAUCAGUCAACAUCUGACAUUCAGUAAAUAAGUUAUGUGCUUCCUCAAGUCUUGCCCAGAGCGUUUUCCAGCUCCAUAAAACUCUUUUCUGUUGGUUUGAAAGGGGAACAGAAAUGGAGUACAUUUUUUAACUCAGUCAUAGAAUGUUUAAUGGCAGCUAAACAAGAACUCUGAUUUAGUGAUUUUCAUCAGAAUCAAAUUUAGACUUCGUCAUCUACAGAUAUUUAGACUGCAGAGUUGGUGUUGCUGGUUUUCAUUUUUUUUCCUUCCCCAAAAUAAUUUACAAUGAGUUAGUUCAUCUCAUGUCAGCAUGGCCAUCGUGGUGGCAGUUGGCAGUGACGCGGGGGUUAUGCUAGCUUGAGUGCAAAAUUAAAUAUAGUGGCAAGUAGGAAUCAGCAAUGUGAAAAACAAGGGAAAAAAAAGAGGAAGAAACUUCAUGGAACAUUGCAGGUCAAAAUGAGAGAACUAUUGGGAAGUUACAACAUUGGUAUUUUAUGUUAAUAUUUUUCAGGGAAAAACAGGGACUAUAGGGUGAAAAUUGCCAUAAUUUUCAUGGAGGGAAAAAAAGCAACACAGUGACCUGGAUUGAGGGAAUUAACUUCAUCCUCAGCUAGAUUGCUGAUGAUACAAAGCUGAGAGGAGUGACUGACACAUUGUGAGGUUGUGCUGCCAUUCAGUGAGAGCUGCACGGACUGGAGAGUUGGGCAGUGAGAAACCUGAGGAGGUGGAACAAGAAAAGUGUGGAGUCCUACACCUGGGGCGGAAUAACUGCAUGCAGCAGUAGAUGUUAGGGGCUGAUCUACGGAGAGGGACCUGGGUGGUCAGCAGGUUGGCCACGAGCCAGCAGUGUGCCCUUGUGGCCAAGGGCAAUGGUAAGGUGCAUUUAAAAAACAAAAAACAAACAAACAAAAAACCAUGGCCAGCAGAUUGAGGGAGGUGAUCCUCCCCCUCUACUCUACCCUUGUGAAGCCACAUCCAGAGUACUGUGUCCAGUUCUGGGCUCCUCAGUUCAAGAAAGACAGGAAACUUCUGAAGACAGUAUAGCGGAGGGCCACAAGGAUUAUGAGAGGCCUGGAGCAUCUCCCUUAUGAGGAAAGGCUGAGAGACCUGGGACUGUUCACUGUGGGGAAGACUAAGAGCAGACUUUAUCAAAACUUAUAAAUACCUCAUGAGUAGGAGUCAAGUGGGUAGGGACAGGCUCUUUUUGAUGGUGCCCAGUGACAGGACAAGGGGCAAAGGGCACAAACUGGAACACAAAAAGUUCUAACUGCACAUAAGGAAAAAUCUUGUUUUGUGGGUGACAGAGCACUGGAAGAAGCUGCAGAGAGGUUGUGGAGUCUCCUCCAGAUAUACUCAAAACUCACCUGGAUGCUUUCCUGUACCACCUAUUCUAGGAACCUGCUUUAGCAGAGGGUUGGACUAGAUCCCCAGAGGUCCCUUCCAACCCUUGUGAUUCUGUGAACACAAUCUCUCAUAGAGAAAUGAUUGGAAGAGACAGAGAGGAGAGAUCCUCUGUUUUGUCUUUUGUACCUAUACAAUAGUUCAGUUGGACAGGACCUUCAAAGGUCACAGAGUCCAACUGCCUGGUCACUUCAGUGCUAACCAAAAGUUAAAGCAUAUUACUGAGGGCGUUGUCUGAAUAUCUCUUGACCACAGCACCCUGCUGUGUACAAAGAAAAUUAUUUAAUCAUCUGUAAUAACUUCAUGAUGGAAGAUUUAAAGCUGUUCACAGAAGUCAGUAUGACGAACACCUACACAAAACUACUCAUCCAUCUCCUUUGGCCUUAUCUGUCAAGCAGCAGAGACCAGAAAAAUUAUGCUGCUCCUGCUAAACCAUGCCUGAUUCAUGUGUAGUUAGAGAAAGCACGAAUGCCUUGACUAAUGUUUUGUAUAUUUGAAUUGGGAAUUGAAAGAGACCUUAGGGGCUCCAUCCAGAGUGACACCAGUCUAUGAAUGUCUGACUGAUAAUGCUGGAUUAGAACAGCUAUGAGCAGAUGGGCUGUGAGCUCUUCUUCCAUUGCAAUUUAACAAAUCAGUGUUAAGAAAGUUAAUUUGGCAAAAGGUUCUGCUUAAACAAUUACUGCUGGGUCUGCAGUAGUGUCUAGAAGGUCAUUCCCUGAAUCAUUGGCCUGAGAUGAAAUUUAUGUUAAAAGAAGUCUCUUUGUAAGUAGGGUCCAGAGACAAUUCAUUGGCUUUGUGUAGGACAGAUGAUGCUGUCUGCUUGCUUUCCCUAAGGCACAGCCAUAAAUACUGCUGUAGUAAUGUGAGAUCAUAGAAAAAUCUGAAGUAGUUUUUGCUCUGAGGGAUGUUGUGUCAGAAGAAGCUUGAAUAGCAGUAUGUGUUCUCUAAUAAGGAGAUCUAGUUCAUUUUUUUUCGAGAUUACCUAGUUAAUAUAUUGGCUACAGCUGAAGUAUUUUUGCACAUAUGGACAAAAGUUCACAUCCGCUGUCUAGAAGAGGGUAUAUAAAAGUAUUCCUGAAAGAUGAAUGGGUGAUGCUGGCAAAAUGCUGCUAUGUUGCACACAGGUACUUAUGUUCUGAAGAUACCUGCCACAUAAUUACCACAUGCUUGAAUGUAAUCAAUCAUGCUGUGGCUUAGUUUACGCAAGGAUUCAUAUGAAAUGGAUGAUCACAGUGUCUCUUUGUGUUUUAAAACUUAAAUUUCAGAUGUUUUCCACUUAUUUCUCUAUUUCCACCUCAUUAGUUUUAUACAUUAUCUUUCUCCUGUAUAAGAAGUUGAGGGCUCUGAUGCAGUCCUUGCCUCCCUCUUAUUAAUUUGCAUGAUCCUGUAGAUUAUCCUGGGAUGCCUGUGGCUCUUCUGAGUCUCUGUGCUGAAGUGAAUGGAACCACUGGAUGUUCCAAGGCCUACUUAAUCCCGUAGGAUACAUGAAUUCCUCAAAAACAGACAUGAUCUCUGUUCUCAAAACAACACCUAAUUCCCAGUUAAAUCAUGCUGAUGUAAUAUGUUUUUUUUUUUUUCCAGUAGACUAAGGAGUUUGGAUAGGAAACUCUCAUGAGAAAACUAAAAAACUGUGGUACCAAUGUGGACAGAGGAUUCAUAUUGCUAAGAAGUUUUCAUGACUUGCUUUUUUUAACCUGAGUUACCAGAAAUCAUAUCCUACAUGGUCUCUCACUGAUUGCAUGGACAUGAACACCACCCAAGGGUGAGAUUUUUCUUGAUGCUAAUCUAUGAGUCUGCUUUAGUUCUCCAACAUCCAUUUGUGAUCGUCAUCUUGGUGCUCUCAAGUCUCCUUGUUAUGCCUUCACCAGUACUGUGAACCACAAACACAAUGCCUAACGAAAGCUCCAUGGCUGUGGAGGGGCAGCUGGCUGGCAUGUUUUUUCUUCUCUAUGCAGAGCAAGAGUAUUGCUGCUCAGAGAGGAAGCGUACUCCAUCAAAACAUGGCUCUCCUUCCACUGCAGAACAUGGAACUUGCUCUACAAGGAGUUGGAGUGGAGCUCUUCUCACGCCUUUCACAGAUUUUAUGCUAAACAAUUCUGUUGGGUCCAUGGAAAAGCCAAAGGCACUGAUCUUUUGGUUGAUGAUUGCACAGAAGUCUGUGGAGAAGUAUCGUGCUGUUGUGCAAGGUGGGUUCCAUCCUGAGAGCUGCCUUCUGCAAAUCUGGGAUAGUGUUGUUGCAGCAGAUGACUUUUCUUGUUGGUUCCUGGGAACAAGCCUGCCCUGUUACGUGUGACCAUGCCACCUCCCUUGGAGCCUUUCAGGCUGCUUUCCCUCCCAGCUUCUUUUUUUCUGGUAGGCAUUAAAUCAGAGUGGCAGCUGGCCAGCAAUGCCCUUUAAGAACAGUACUUAGUGUAACGUUGUCUUUUUGGCCAACGUUUUUUUUAAAUGUACUACACUGCUUUUCUUUAAUAGCCAUAACUGUUGGGAGAAAAAUGCAAAAAUGAAGCAGACUAGGAAGUAUAAACCUAAAUCUGUAGCCUGUGUGAAGUUAUGCAAUGGCGUGAUUUUCAGCAACAAACCUUGUGUGAAGGGCUGAAAAUUCUUUCUUUUUUUUUUUUUUUAGUAGUAAGAAAGUCGACUGACAAAACCAAAAUGAAGAGAAGAAAAUCAUACUCCCAUAUGAACUGCCAAGAGAGCGCAUAAUAGCUGCACUUAUUUUAUUAGCCUUCUGACCUUUCCUUUCUCUGAUGAGGUUUCUUUUUCCUAUUAGCUCUACUAGGAUGUCUACUGAGAUGGCAACAAAACAAACACUGUUUUUGUUGGCUAAUUUAUCUUUUCUGUGCGCAGGGAUCGCAGACAUGGAGGCCACGAGGCGAUGCCUGCCUUGCAGCAUUCACAAGAACCACCCUGUGCCAUUGGGUACUGGGAAGAACACUGCCGUGUUGAGGGCAACGCAUCCAUGCUCACGCAGCAAUUCAAGUCAUGCUUGACUUGGAGCCUGCGAGCAGUUUCCUCGCCUCCAAUGGAAGAGUGUCAUUUUGUUUGACACCAUUCACGUAUUUUUGUACAGAUACGGUAUUUCUUCUUCACUUCUUUAGCAGCUGCUCUACAACAUUGCUUUCUCUGGAAAUUAUUAGUGCCAGACUGUGUGGGAAGGGCUUGGUACUUCCUGUCCCUAUUGUUUCUGGGGAAGACUGGUUUGCUGCAAAGCGCUACUGGAGAGAAACGGGUGGGAUAACUGUGGCAGCGCUUGCCCAAAGUCCUGGGUUUGGUGUCCUUAAUUUACCAAUCAGUGGAACCAAGUGCUCAGCAUCAGUGGAACCAAGUGUUUCAACAUUUUCUACUAAAGCAGUAAGGGUUGGCUGUCCCGCUGCCAUAGAGCAGGACUAUGGAAUUUUUGGACUUACAUGGAAAUCUGAGGAAACUUCAGAAAUAAUUCUGGAAUAUGCCCAGCAGACUGCAUGGUAACAGAGGAGCUGGCUGAAGAAUUUAUAGCUGUGGAGAGAGAAUAAUAAUCUUUUUCUAAAGAACUGUUGAUCCAGGGAAGGGAAAAAACAACUCAGAAUGCUAACAGAGAAUCUGUCAAUUAUUUUUUUUUCUCUGGUGGACGACUUAUGAGGAACCUAUACCUCCAUAAAUCACAGAAAUAAAACAACACAGCUGAAAUUAACCAGCAGCAUUUAGACGGAAUUUGGGGCGAGGAUCUCACCAGCUUUCUGUAACGCCAGGACUGCAGUGCCAUGUUGUUCUAAUCUCAGGCACUUCCAGCAGAUAAGGUUGCAUAUAAACCACAACCCAUCUGCAAUUUCAGAAGGGCCAAACCAACCCGUUUAGGAAUGGCUAAAUUGCUACUUCUCGAGUUUAAGUGGCAGCUUGAUAAAUGUGACCUAUUUGAUGUUAACUCCAGGGAAGCGUAGCCAAUUUUUCUUUAGUUUAGCCUAAGGGAAAAAGUGUAUUAAAUCUUUGCAUGUUGACAUUUAAAGUCUUUUCAGAACAAGAUCACACCAUUCUAGAAUUUAAGGUUGAAUCAGUUGCUGUUAUAUGUUUACCCUGUGUAAUUAAUUUGUUCUAUUAAUUUACUUCCAGACUCUUUUACUACUCAGGAACCUUAGUUACUUGCCACGAUCCAUAGUACUAGACACUCUCAAACACAUGGUGUCAGUUAAAAAAACAAAAAAAGAAAAGAAAAAAAGAAAAUCCACCUUGCUCUCUUUCUGUGUCCAAUAGAUAACUGGAAAAAAAGUGUGCAGUAGCUGCAUCUGCUGUUGCAUGCCAGGUGUCCUUCAAGUAUUGUGUCAAGGUCUUGCCUGCAGCCCUAGCAGCCAUAUUUACCUCUCUGUGAUUUAAUGCUGAUCUCACCUCCCCAUGUUUUUGAGCAUUCUGUAAUGCUGCUUGUCACGGGCAGAACAGCAGAGACCACAUUUCCUCUGGGCCCACGGCACUAAGAGUUAAGCCAGGAAGCAAGUUGACAUGGACAUUUUUGGUGUUUGUAUUGAGAGGGGCGUUAGGAAUUGCCUUUUAGGAGCUGUUGCCCAGAAGGCCCCACUAGUUGAAAGAAUGGUUAAGAAUGUCUUCAGCUGUUUUUCUUUUCUGUUUUGUACAUCUGAUGCAGGCUUGUUAACGGGGUUCCCAUGGACCGCCUCAGCACGACAAUACUGGUGUGAACAAGUAGCUAUCCUGUCCUACAUUAGCCUCCUAGGUGCUGUUCUUACAAGGCAAGGAGCUGUGCUUUUCUGUGCACAGAUGUUCCUGCAAAAUCCCAGUUAAAAGACAGAGAAGAUGACAAUUGCUCACCUGUUUCCAAAGCGUAGGUUAGACCCAGGCAAUGGCUUUAGUUACAUUGAUUUGACUGAUUGCAUUGUUGGAGUAUGUCAAGAAUGUAUGUUACCAUUAUACACUGAAAAUAUAUAUGCUCCAUAGACUCUGAAGUCUUGAUUGGCUCAGCUAGAAAUAUUUGAGUGAGUGUUGCAGAACACUGUAUAUUUUCAAGGUGGUUGUUGGUCUCUUGCUAUUUUUUGAGCAGUCAGGAGAAUAAGAGUCAAAGAAGUUCCACCUCAGUGGAUUCAUGGCAUUGCAUUUUAAUGACACUGAAGCAAAUAUGCGUUACCCUAAUGAUCCCUUCCACUUUAAUAGCUGGACUACUUCUGUAUUUCUCAAAUAACUGAGGCUGUAAAGUUUUCUGCAGCUUAACUAGAUUGUUUUUGGUGUCAGCUAAUGUCAUGUUUUAUUGAGUCAAUGUGCUGGUUUCCCGCCAGCCGUAUUUCAUGUUUUACAGACAAGUCAUCUCUAUAGGGUACUGUUAGAAAAUAUUUUAUAACUUCUCAUGUCUAUUUGCAAACCACAAACAGUCUCUCUGGUAAAACAAAAUGCAUUCAAUUAUCUUAAUUUUUACUAAUUUCACUUUUCUCUGAAAAGUCCCUCUGAUGUGGAGAGUGCAGCUGUGGAGGAGGAAGCCAAGAGCAGCCCGGAGAGAAAACAUCGGUGUUGGCAGAGUGGUGGGAGCCGUAGCAGGGCAGGGGGAGAGCAGGCCUGACAGCACAGGGAGGGCUCUGUGCUCCAGCUAGGACUCUCACAGCUCCACCAGUCCCUGCAGCACUGAGGCAAGUCAGUGUGGGGAGGGUGAGGCUGUCCCACUUGCAGGUGACAAGGGCACAGAUGGAGGUACCAGCCCUUGCUGACGGCUUUGGAGUGGGCUCAUGUGACAACUCUGCAGCAGCCUCCCUGCAAUUGCUCUGGAGCAGCGAAUACUGAGGAGUGAGGUAAGCAAAGCGAUGCCAACAAAAACCGUGUUGCUGUUCCACUUUCUCUUCUGUAGAGAUGUGGACUGGCACAGCCCUGCUCUUUGGGAUCUGCCCAGAAGGCCUUUAUUGCUUCCCUUUCUUGAGGAAAAGGGUGGAACAAGCAGGCUGACCCCAGGAAAGCUGAUCAUCUUGCCUUCGGGGUCUAUAUGGCUUGUAAUGUUGGGAGGUUGGUUAACAUCAAACUGUGUGAAUGGAAGGAGUUGUCUUCAACUUGGAGCUCCAUUUGGGAUACCAAAGGUCUUAACCAACCUCUUCAGCAGUCUGUAAUAGAAGGCAGCUGCUCCAAAUACCGUGUUUUGACGGUUCAAAAUUAUUAACGUGGUUCUUUGCAAUAUAUUUUCCACAUGAUUUUGUUUUAAAUUCUGCGUGUGGCCUUGUGGCCAAAAGCCUUACUCAUGUCUGCAAGCAUGUGGAUGUAAAAUAAACCCUGCAAGGUAAAAGCUCUGAAUCAUGUGAGAAGUUGAAUCAUUCUGUUGGAAGCAGGGACUAACAAAUGGAAAGAGCAAUUCUGAGCACAUUCUGUCACUGCAAGGUGCGAAGUAUGUGCUGAAUAUGAUUUCUAUUUAUACUUUUAUUCUAAAACUGUCAAAAAUCCAAGCUUAAGAUUGCUCUUCUUCAUACAGUAGAACAAAGCACUCUUUCUACCUUGGGUCUGGAUGCCUUGAACACUUCCUAUUCCUUCAAGCACCCUUUCCAGUGAAGAGACAAUUCUCUACCUCCUCUAAGGUGGUAAUUUGCCAGUUACUAUCAGGAGCAAUCCAGCAUUGAAUUGGGGAAUUUUUUUUUAAUUGCCAGUUAAAAUAGAUGUGGAUAGUUUAUUAACAAGAACAAAAUUUUAAAAAAACAUGUUCUACUUCACCCCCCUUUGUUCCCUCAGGCUCAAUCAGUCCUUAAUUUCUCACUCCUCUUUCUCUGCUGCAAUGAACUGUAAAGUAUUUGUUCCUUGGGCACUGGCUAUGCUUCAAUAGCCACCGAUACUGGGAGAUCGAUCCCCUGAGACUGGAGAGCAAUCUGUUUGUUUGUUACUCCUCACUUCCCUCUCCUUUCAGAUGUUGGAGUGAUUUUGUGCAAGCUGAACUUGUUAGCUUGGUCAGUGUGUUUUCCUGUAAGUGAGCGCUGCUUCAUGUACAGAAGACAUACAAAUGAUUAGAAAGGAAGAAGAGAAGAAGGAAAAAGCAGUGAUUGAUUCCAUUUUCAGCCCCCCCCAUGGCCCUUUAGGAUGCUGCACUGAAACGGCAUCUGCACCUCUGAUGGUAAAAGUAGCUGCACAGAUGGCUCCAGCUUUGUUCAGCCAUGAGGUGAGAAUCCCAGAGGCAGAACUUCUGUUAAAGUCGGGCUAGAAAGACAGCAAGAUAGCUCUCAUAAGUUUUUUUUCCUUCAAGGAUCCCUCAUUGGAGGUAGGUACAGAUGUAUCUUCUCCUGGGGGGGAGAUGAUGUAUUUACAGAUGUACGUAACCUGCAGUUACGCCCUCACGGUUGCUGUGAACUGAUGUGAGCUGCCCAGAACAAACAGCAGUGCAAAGCAGAUUGCUACCCAGUGCAUAUAUGUGGUCGAGUGUCUGCAGAAUUAGCCAAAAUUCCCAGGGCAAUGGCUACAGCAGCUCUGUGCUCUAUGCACGGGUGGUCCCUGCCCCAAGAACGUGAGCAGCACAAAAUCUUGUACUGAUCAAUACUUCCUCCCAGCUUGGUAUCGUCUGCAAACUAACCGAGGGUACACUCAACCUGAGAAAACUUGAAGUGACAUUUUCAUUUGUGGAAUAGCUGGACAGCAGGCAGAUAUAAGGAAAGGGAGCUGUAAGGGAGCAUUAAGAAAAUCAAACAAAAUGUCAUCAGUGUCGGAGUCUCUGCAGAAAUAAGGAUUUUUCUGGAGAUGCCUCACACAGAAGGGGAAAGAAACCUUAAGAAUCUGGUGAGGGUUUUAGGGAGCAAAGGCACGUUGGGAACCUGGAUUGGAAAGGGCAGUAGAGGAAGAGGAACUUCUUGUUGAUCUUACUAUUGCUAAAAAAAAUACACUUUUGGCUUUGAAGAAUUGAGUCAAAUAAAGCUGAAAAAAAGGCAGAAUAAAUGGAGACAGCACAUAGAAAUAUUUCACUCAAAAAGAGCAGCAAAAAGAGCGUGCUAUAUAUCCAGCAGAAAAGGAGUUAAAGAAAGAAGCAAGCUGACCAAGUGGAGGAGCAACCAGUGGAAGUUCAGGGGCGGCUAUAACUGGGUGCUUGCUGCAAGUGGGCUUUAGCACAGAGGGGAAAAUGAUUUGUUAGGCUGCAAGAACCCUAAACUGGGCUGGUGCUGGGAGAGGCAGGGUGGGGGGUUGGUACAGCCAACACUACCCAUGCCAAGAAGGAGAGGGCCUUCAGCAGCCCAAAGAGGCAUCACUCUGCUCAAGCAGAGGUACUUCUCUGCUAUAGACUGAACAGGCCACUUGACCAUAACAUAAUACAGAAUGCUGUAUUAUGCAAAGCAAAGGAAUGAACGUCCCUCCUCAAUCUCCUUGCUAAGAAAUGGGAGGUCACUGAGGGGCCAGGCACUGGUGAGGGGAUCAAGGAAGAGAUUUUAAGAAAGAGCAGAUGGUGACAUAUUUUAAAGAGGUUAUAAAAAGGGGAAUCCUCGGGGCAGAUGUUUUCUCAAAGACAUCGGAACAAAGCACUGCAGUGACCAGGAAAUGUGUGGAAAAUAUGUGGCUGUUAAAAGAUGGCAGCAGCCACAUGGUUCAGAUUAACAGCAAUGACUGCAAAGACAAAGUGCAGCAGCAGGUGAGUCAGGCCUCAGCAGAGCUGCAGCUGUGCAACAGGUCCUGAGUCCUCCAUUCACUUUGCAGUGAUGGAAACACCUGGAAAGGUGACUUCAGACCUCACACUCUUCAUCUUAAAUGUUAAAUUCUACAGCAACCUCUUCUUUAAGCCUUUUUUUAUUUGAAGGAAUAAGACGACCUGGAAAGACAAUAGUCAAGCAAAGAAACUGCCCGAAAAAUGUACAUGGGGGGUUUUUGAAACAGAAGAGUAUGAGCCCAUGGAUGUAUAGAUGUGGUGUUCAGCCCCAGUCCCUGUUACAGAAAAGCCAAUGGUGCUGGAUACCAUCUGAAAGGAUGGAGCCACUUUGGGAUCACCAGGCUGUCAGUCAGUGUUUUGGCAAGCCCAUCACUGCUCUGUGGUUUGGGCAACAGGAGCUGAAGUAGGGCAGGUUCCUGAAGAGUGUUAGACUCAUUUAGCUUGGCUCCUGCUCAGCAAGAUCUGUUUUAUUCGUUUUCCUCUUGGUACAGUGCAAUUUUAUGCUUCAUUUUUACUGUAUAGGAAUUAUCUGCGCAUUUUGGAUAGAAUGCCUGCCAAAAGGAAAAAAAAAAAUACAUUUCUUUUGCUGCAAAGAAUAAGAGUCUCAAAAAAGCCUAUGAGGUUUCUUAGCUCUAGUGCUGAAAACGUGGCACUUGUGCACAGAUAACGUCCUCUCCAGAGACACAGUGGCAAGGGGAUGUCAAAAAGCAACAGGACUUCUAGGGCUUUCUCCUUGCACUGUAGCGAACAGGAUCUGCUUUUCCUGAAACACUCUCUAUUAACAGAAUAUGUUUCAUCAUUAACAUUUUUUAUUGGGUUGUCUGAAGCCUGGCUAGAAGUUUAGGCAUGCACUGAACUUGUGAAUGUGUUUCUAAGAUUUUAUUACAGAACUUUAGAAGCAGUUACAAAUUAAUAUAUGUUUGAGGGUAAAAAGUGAACUUUAAAUUAAAUAAAACAUUUGAACACAAAUGUGUGUCAGUUGUACAAUGAACUUGUUUUUAAGUCAGAGCUGGAAUCAUAGAGCCAUAGAAUAUCCCGAGUUGGAAGAGACCCACAAGGAUCUUCAAGCCCAACCCCUGGCUCCACACAGGACCACCCAAAAUUCAAACCCUCUGCUUGAGAACAUUGUCAAAAAGCUCCUUGAACUCUGGCAGCUUGGCAUCAUAACCAGUGCCACGGGCAGCCUGUUCCAUGCCCACCACCCUAACCCCCAGCUACCCCUCCC
This 15855-nucleotide long non-coding RNA is filed under the name Gallus gallus (chicken). The record is from RNAcentral. Lineage: Eukaryota; Metazoa; Chordata; Aves; Galliformes; Phasianidae.